This 460-nucleotide ribosomal RNA is filed under the name uncultured bacterium. RNAcentral describes it as "partial 16S ribosomal RNA". It matches the Rfam family "Bacterial small subunit ribosomal RNA", at positions 339 to 795 of the family's 1533-position model. The record is from RNAcentral.
CUACGGGAUGCUCCAGUAGGGAAUAUUGCACAAUGGGGGAAACCCUGAUGCAGCAAUGCCACGUGAGUGAGGAAGGUUUUCGGAUUGUAAAGCUCUGUCCUAUAGGAAGAAAGGCUUAGGGUAACGCCUAAGAUUGACGGUACUAUAGGAGAAAGCACCGGCUAACUCCGUGCCAGCAGCCGCGGUAAUACGGAGGGUGCAAGCGUUGUUCGGAUUUACUGGGCGUAAAGCGCGCGCAGGCGGAUUAGCAAGUCAGAUGUGAAAUCUCGGGGCUCAACCCCGAAACUGCGUCUGAAACUGUUAGUCUAGAAGCUCAGAGGGGGCAGGGGAAUUUCACGUGUAGGGGUAAAAUCCGUAGAGAUGUGAAGGAACACCGGUGGCGAAGGCGCCUGCCUGGAUGAGUAUUGACGCUGAGGCGCGAAAGCGUGGGGAGCAAACAGGAUUAGAUACCCGCGUAGUC